UGGGGAAUAUUGGACAAUGGGCGAAAGCCUGAUCCAGCCAUGCCGCGUGUGUGAAGAAGGUCUUCGGAUUGUAAAGCACUUUAAGUUGGGAGGAAGGGCAGUAAGCGAAUACCUUGCUGUUUUGACGUUACCGACAGAAUAAGCACCGGCUAACUCUGUGCCAGCAGCCGCGGUAAUACAGAGGGUGCAAGCGUUAAUCGGAAUUACUGGGCGUAAAGCGCGCGUAGGUGGUUCGUUAAGUUGAAUGUGAAAGCCCCGGGCUCAACCUGGGAACGGCAUCCAAAACUGGCGAGCUAGAGUAGGGCAGAGGGUGGUGGAAUUUCCUGUGUAGCGGUGAAAUGCGUAGAUAUAGGAAGGAACACCAGUGGCGAAGGCGACCACCUGGGCUCAUACUGACACUGGGGUGCGAAAGCGUGGGGAGCAAACAGG
This 429-nucleotide ribosomal RNA is filed under the name Pseudomonadota bacterium. Its description in RNAcentral is "Proteobacteria bacterium partial 16S ribosomal RNA". It matches the Rfam family "Bacterial small subunit ribosomal RNA", at positions 355 to 776 of the family's 1533-position model. Lineage: Bacteria; Pseudomonadati; Pseudomonadota. The record is from RNAcentral.